GCCUUCAUGGUGUAGUGGUCAGCACGCUGGGCGUGCAUUCCAGAGAGCGUGGUUCGAAUCCCAGCAAAGGCG
This 72-nucleotide transfer RNA is filed under the name Stegodyphus mimosarum. It matches the Rfam family "tRNA". Rfam says of the family: Transfer RNA (tRNA) molecules are approximately 80 nucleotides in length. Their secondary structure includes four short double-helical elements and three loops (D, anti-codon, and T loops). Lineage: Eukaryota; Metazoa; Arthropoda; Arachnida; Araneae; Eresidae. The record is from Rfam by way of RNAcentral.